GAAAAGCCCGCUCGCCGGAAGACCAAGGGUUCCUGUCCAACGUUAAUCGGGGCAGGGUGAGUCGACCCCUAAGGCGAGGCCGAAAGGCGUAGUCGAUGGGAAACAGGUUAAUAUUCCUGUACUUGGUGUUACUGCGAAGGGGGGACGGAGAAGGCUAUGUUGGCCGGGCGACGGUUGUCCCGGUUUAAGCGUGUAGGCUGGUUUUCCAGGCAAAUCCGGAAAAUCAAGGCCGAGGCGUGAUGACGAGGCACUACGGUGCUGAAGCAACAAAUGCCCUGCUUCCAGGAAAAGCCUCUAAGCAUCAGGUAACAUCAAAUCGUACCCCAAACCGACACAGGUGGUCAGGUAGAGAAUACCAAGGCGCUUGAGAGAACUCGGGUGAAGGAACUAGGCAAAAUGGUGCCGUAACUUCGGGAGAAGGCACGCUGAUACGUAGGUGAAGCGACUUGCUCGUGGAGCUGAAAUCAGUCGAAGAUACCAGCUGGCUGCAACUGUUUAUUAAAAACACAGCACUGUGCAAACACGAAAGUGGACGUAUACGGUGUGACGCCUGCCCGGUGCCGGAAGGUUAAUUGAUGGGGUUAGCGCAAGCGAAGCUCUUGAUCGAAGCCCCGGUAAACGGCGGCCGUAACUAUAACGGUCCUAAGGUAGCGAAAUUCCUUGUCGGGUAAGUUCCGACCUGCACGAAUGGCGUAAUGAUGGCCAGGCUGUCUCCACCCGAGACUCAGUGAAAUUGAACUCGCUGUGAAGAUGCAGUGUACCCGCGGCAAGACGGAAAGACCCCGUGAACCUUUACUAUAGCUUGACACUGAACAUUGAGCCUUGAUGUGUAGGAUAGGUGGGAGGCUUUGAAGUGUGGACGCCAGUCUGCAUGGAGCCGACCUUGAAAUACCACCCUUUAAUGUUUGAUGUUCUAACGUGGACCCGUGAUCCGGGUUGCGGACAGUGUCUGGUGGGUAGUUUGACUGGGGCGGUCUCCUCCUAAAGAGUAACGGAGGAGCACGAAGGUUGGCUAAUCCUGGUCGGACAUCAGGAGGUUAGUGCAAUGGCAUAAGCCAGCUUGACUGCGAGCGUGACGGCGCGAGCAGGUGCGAAAGCAGGUCAUAGUGAUCCGGUGGUUCUGAAUGGAAGGGCCAUCGCUCAACGGAUAAAAGGUACUCCGGGGAUAACAGGCUGAUACCGCCCAAGAGUUCAUAUCGACGGCGGUGUUUGGCACCUCGAUGUCGGCUCAUCACAUCCUGGGGCUGAAGUAGGUCCCAAGGGUAUGGCUGUUCGCCAUUUAAAGUGGUACGCGAGCUGGGUUUAGAACGUCGUGAGACAGUUCGGUCCCUAUCUGCCGUGGGCGCUGGAGAACUGAGGGGGGCUGCUCCUAGUACGAGAGGACCGGAGUGGACGCAUCACUGGUGUUCGGGUUGUCAUGCCAAUGGCACUGCCCGGUAGCUAAAUGCGGAAGAGAUAAGUGCUGAAAGCAUCUAAGCACGAAACUUGCCCCGAGAUGAGUUCUCCCUGACCCUUUAAGGGUCCUGAAGGAACGUUGAAGACGACGACGUUGAUAGGCCGGGUGUGUAAGCGCAGCGAUGCGUUGAGCUAACCGGUACUAAUGAACCGUGAGGCUUAACCUUACAACGCCGAAG
This 1634-nucleotide ribosomal RNA is filed under the name Shigella flexneri. RNAcentral's name for it is "partial 23S ribosomal RNA". It matches the Rfam family "Bacterial large subunit ribosomal RNA", at positions 1323 to 2925 of the family's 2925-position model. The record is from RNAcentral. Lineage: Bacteria; Pseudomonadati; Pseudomonadota; Gammaproteobacteria; Enterobacterales; Enterobacteriaceae.